GUUACAACAGCACCAUCAACCCCAAGUGGCUUUCCUCCUGUUCCCUCGUUUCCAGUGGACUCCGGUGAGCACUUGGGGGACCCGGACCCUCCACUUGUUUCCACUGUUUGCCAUCUGCCUUCUUCCUGUGCACCUGCUACAGCCACGAUGUGUCCCACGCCCCUUCAACGGCACCCAUUCCACAGCGGUUUCACGAGACCUUAGCCGGACCAGAUAGUCCAUGCUCACAAUAUGAUCUACGGUGAGGGCCUCGGGCCACCAUGAAGCAUCAGCUUGACCUCCACAGGGACUGGAGCCUGCGGCCAGCCAGACGGGUGGUCAGCCUGCCUGUGUGACCAGCCCCCAGAAAACCCCCAGACCCCCAGGGGAAUGCCAGUUCCAUGAGGGUGGGGCCUGCUAUCCGUUUUGUUCCUGGCCGUGUCCCCAGUGUGCAGAAAAGGUCCAA
Molecule: long non-coding RNA, 445 nt
Organism: Hyaena hyaena (striped hyena)
Lineage: Eukaryota; Metazoa; Chordata; Mammalia; Carnivora; Hyaenidae
Exons: 3
Source: RefSeq, a predicted model, not a curated record